This 188-nucleotide non-coding RNA is filed under the name Heyndrickxia ginsengihumi. The record is from RNAcentral. Lineage: Bacteria; Bacillati; Bacillota; Bacilli; Caryophanales; Bacillaceae.
CUGAAUAUGUCGGGAAUAGGUACUUUGAAUAAGAUGUUCAAAGUUUAAAAGGGAAUUUGGUGUAAAUCCAAAGCGGUCCCGCCACUGUCAUUGCUGAGUCAUGAUCAAAAUGCCACUCGUUUUCACGGGGAAGGCGAUCAUGGUGUUGAAGCAUAAGCCAGGAGACCUGCCUAUUCUAACAACACUAC